Molecule: long non-coding RNA, 185 nt
Organism: Parasteatoda tepidariorum (common house spider)
Lineage: Eukaryota; Metazoa; Arthropoda; Arachnida; Araneae; Theridiidae
Source: RefSeq, a predicted model, not a curated record
GUGAAAAUCACGUAUGAUUGAAUGAUGAAGACUAAGAAAAAAUUUUCUUCUUAAAAUAAAGAAUUUUUCAUCCCAGUUUUUUAAAGGAAAACACUCCAGCUUGACGAUGAACAACCGUUUGAGUCUGAUCUAUAUUUGUUGUUACUUUCUAAUUGGCAUUGUUAUGUGCGGACCUCUUGGUUCUA